UGGGGAAUAUUGCACAAUGGGCGCAAGCCUGAUGCAGCGACGCCGCGUGGGGGAUGACGGCCUUCGGGUUGUAAACUCCUUUCGCCAGGGACGAAGCUUUUUGUGACGGUACCUAGAUAAGAAGCACCGGCUAACUACGUGCCAGCAGCCGCGGUAAUACGUAGGGUGCGAGCGUUGUCCGGAAUUACUGGGCGUAAAGGGCUCGUAGGUGGUUUGUCGCGUCGUCUGUGAAAUUCCGGGGCUUAACUCCGGGCGUGCAGGCGAUACGGGCAUAGCUUGAGUACUGUAGGGGUAACUGGAAUUCCUAGUGUAGCGGUGAAAUGCGCAGAUAUCAGGAGGAACACCGAUGGCGAAGGCAGGUUACUGGGCAGUUACUGACGCUGAGGAGCGAAAGCAUGGGUAGCGAACAGG
This 411-nucleotide ribosomal RNA is filed under the name Actinomycetes bacterium. RNAcentral describes it as "Actinobacteria bacterium partial 16S ribosomal RNA". It matches the Rfam family "Bacterial small subunit ribosomal RNA", at positions 355 to 776 of the family's 1533-position model. The record is from RNAcentral. Lineage: Bacteria; Bacillati; Actinomycetota; Actinomycetes.